UGAGCCAAGUUUAGGGUUUUCUCAAAACCCAAGCAGUAUUGAACUGAAGAGUUUGAUCAUGGCUCAGAUUGAACGCUGGCGGCAGGCCUAACACAUGCAAGUCGAGCGGAUGAAGGGAGCUUGCUCCUGGAUUCAGCGGCGGACGGGUGAGUAAUGCCUAGGAAUCUGCCUGGUAGUGGGGGAUAACGUCCGGAAACG
This 198-nucleotide ribosomal RNA is filed under the name Pseudomonas aeruginosa. Its description in RNAcentral is "partial 16S ribosomal RNA". The stretch from base 41 to 198 matches the Rfam family "Bacterial small subunit ribosomal RNA", at positions 1 to 158 of the family's 1533-position model. Lineage: Bacteria; Pseudomonadati; Pseudomonadota; Gammaproteobacteria; Pseudomonadales; Pseudomonadaceae. The record is from RNAcentral.